Non-coding RNA from Odocoileus virginianus texanus, 452 nucleotides. The record is from RefSeq and is a predicted model, not a curated record. NCBI's taxonomy places the organism in Eukaryota, Metazoa, Chordata, Mammalia, Artiodactyla, Cervidae.
CCAAAGUGGAAGUCUUCUCUGCUGGGAUGAUCCUGCCUGAAUAAACUUUCUGGAUGGCCAAGAAGAAAAGAGAAUUCAGCUUGAAUACAGAUGAUGACUGCUUCAUGAGACCUAAGGAAGGGAUUCCUAAGUCGAUAAAGCUGUUAUUUAUUUAUUUAUUUUGGAAAUGCACACAAGGGGGCUUUUUUUCUUUUUUUAUCCCAUGCUAAGCUAUGUGAUUGAAGGCAGGAGAAAUUGUGAAGUUCCACAGACUUGAUGAAGAAAAUUUCAAAGACAUGAAAGGUUGUUGUGAUGGAUUGUUGCUGAUCAAGAAAGCGCCAACGUCAAAAGCUGCAGAACGGGUUUCAGCAUUAAAAGAAAAUCCUGGAGGAGAAUCGUUGGUUGCUUGAAGGGUGAUUUUGGAGAAAUGUGAUGGUUGCUGACUUGAAUUGAAAAACGAUUUAGAUCAUUCA